UACGUAGGUGGCGAGCGUUGUCCGGAUUUACUGGGCGUAAAGGGAGCGUAGGCGGACUUUUAAGUGAGAUGUGAAAUACUCGGGCUCAACUUGAGUGCUGCAUUUCAAACUGGAAGUCUAGAGUGCAGGAGAGGAGAAUGGAAUUCCUAGUGUAGCGGUGAAAUGCGUAGAGAUUAGGAAGAACACCAGUGGCGAAGGCGAUUCUCUGGACUGUAACUGACGCUGAGGCUCGAAAACGUGGGGAGCAAACAGG
RNAcentral lists this ribosomal RNA (253 nucleotides) under uncultured bacterium. RNAcentral's name for it is "partial 16S ribosomal RNA". It matches the Rfam family "Bacterial small subunit ribosomal RNA", at positions 524 to 776 of the family's 1533-position model. The record is from RNAcentral.